GGCCGAAUGCCCGAGUGGCCAGGGGCCCGUCUGCAAAACGGGACACGCCGGUUCGAAUCCGGCUUCGGCCUCCA
This 74-nucleotide transfer RNA is filed under the name Actinoplanes sp. ATCC 53533. Its description in RNAcentral is "tRNA-Cys". It matches the Rfam family "tRNA". From Rfam's summary of the family: Transfer RNA (tRNA) molecules are approximately 80 nucleotides in length. Their secondary structure includes four short double-helical elements and three loops (D, anti-codon, and T loops). Lineage: Bacteria; Bacillati; Actinomycetota; Actinomycetes; Micromonosporales; Micromonosporaceae. The record is from RNAcentral.